Molecule: ribosomal RNA, 2340 nt
Filed under: Triticum aestivum (bread wheat)
Lineage: Eukaryota; Viridiplantae; Streptophyta; Magnoliopsida; Poales; Poaceae
Description: partial small subunit ribosomal RNA
Source: RNAcentral
AUGGAACAAAUUUCGCUUGGGCAUCGAUAUAAGGAGUGCAGGCCACAAAGGACUAGCAGCUGUCCAGCUAAACUACUUGUUGGGAAGGAUGUACUGAAAGAAUUGGAGGAAAGACGGUCAUCCCCCAGUGUGGUCGCAAAACUGAUGGGAAUUGACGUAUUGCCACCUACUUACGUAGCCCAUAAAAGACAUCAACAAUUCAAGGAUGUCUUUGAAGUGUCGGAGGAGCUACCGGAGACUUUCACAAAAGAGAUGUCGUAUCAUUGCCCUAAAGGUCUGCCAAGCUUGAAGAGGAGUGCAAUGAAAUUGAAAAAGCUUAUGCCGUCAAAGUCUCCCUAUUGUGAUGGAACAUUUGAUAAUGACGUGGAGUACAACAAUGGCUUGGAUCGCUUGAACCCACUUGAAAUAGACAAUCCUUUGUUUGAGAAGUGCCCCCGCGAUGUGAAUUAUUCCCCAAAUAAUCAACAUGAGAAAGAUAUCACAGGCACUUUCAGGAAGUACCCAGUGGGUUUAGCUAAUUCCUCACUUAAAGAUAUAAAAGAUCUGCCGAGAGGGAAUUACGGAGAUUUCAACAACAUUGUCGUUCUGGAGCCUGGCUUGGGAAACAGCCAUGAUCCAGAGAACUCUUUUUCCAUGUCGUUGCUCUCUCAUGACAAUUGCAAUUCCAGGAGAAAUAGGAAGAAGAAGUUGGCUGAGUCUGUUGUAAUGAGCAAUGAGAGAGUUUCACAACAUCUUUCAGAUACUGUUAAUGUGGCUAGAAUAAAAAGAGAAAGAUACUUGACUAGUGAUGCCAUCAAUUCUCUGUCAAAAGGAGAGGAGCCAUCAUUUGAUCAAUUCAACAUCAUAGAUAUGAAUAGCACCGGAUCAUUUCAGAUGUAUUCUGGAGGUGACAUUAACUCCAGGCAAAACAACAAGCCAUCAUCAAGUAGCUUACCUGGGAAAUCCUUUCGGAAGUAUGAUGAAGGUGAUGUCGGAUCGAGAACUCUUGCACAGAUGUUUGCUUUAUCUGAUUCAGAGAGGGUAAAGAAAAAUUUGAACCCGCAUGCUCAGAUUCAACACAGUAAACUUGACCAGGGCAAAGGCCACAACAGGGAAGGAUGCUUUAUAGUUUUACCAAAGCAUGGAUCUCCACUGUCUCUUCACACCUCAUUGGACAGGAGUUCUUCCUGCGAAGGGUCUCCUAACAGUGAAAUUUUCCCAGAUCCUUCAGUUAGUUACAACAACGGCAAGGUUACCUUUGAUUCUUUUCUGGCCAAACGAAGGCUCAAGCAAAUUGCCAGCGGGAGGCAAAAUAACUUAAGGAAUGCUUCUGUGGUAAAAAGUCUUGCCUUGGAGCAGCGGAGACCUGCUUCUCCUUCUCUUGAUGAUUUCAGGUGUCAUUCAUGGCGUCCAUCUGAUAAUGUUUCAACUUCUGACUGCAUAAAUGAGAGAUUAUUGUUCGCGACAGAUGAGGGCUUAAUCCACGAGCCUGCUGAAACUGUGCCUUCUGCGUUUCAAUUGCAAUUAUCUAGGAAACAGAAGGUUUCAGCAACGCCUUUGCAGUGUCAUGACUAUGAAUCCAUAUCUAUUUCUAAUCAUGAUGAUCUGGCAAAGUCUCGUAAAGGAUUGGAAGAGUUUGAGCAGCCGAGCCCAGUGUCCAUUCUACAGCCCCCAACUGAUGAAGACAGUUGCUGUUCUGGAUUCUUCAAGAAUGACUUGCAAGACAUGCCCAGUGUGGAGACACAAAUGGACCAUCGUCGAUUCCGAGAUGAACCUGAAGUCUCCUCCAUGUCAUGUGAUGAUGGCAAUGAUUCUUCUUACAAAUCUUUGGAAGCAUUUCAGGUUGAGGAGGACAGGGACUUCUCAUAUCUCCUUGAUAUUCUUAUAAGCUCUGGUAUGAUAGUUUCAACUGACUGGCAGCUCUUGUGCAAGUCAUGGCACUCAUCUAGUUUCCCUGUUGGUCCCCAAGUCUUUGAGAGGCUUGAGAGCAAGUACGCCAAAAUGACUUCAUGGCCAAAGCCAAAGAGGAGACUUAUGUUUGAUCUUGCAAAUUCUGUUCUCUCCGAUGUCCUUGCACCUUGCACCAAUAUACACCCAUGGGUGAGUUCUACUAGACAGUGCAGGCCUAUCUGGGGCCCUGAAGGGCCUGUUGAGAAGGUUUGGCAAAUGAUGGUUAGGCAGCAGGAGGAGCUGGCGAUAGGGCAUCCUGAUGACAAGGUUCUGGAUCCAAACUGGCUGCAAGCUGAUGAUGACAUAUAUGCGGUGGGCAACCAGAUAGCCGUCAUGUUACAUGCUGACCUCUUGGAAGAAGUCAUAUUGGAAUUCCUCUCACUCUCAGGGUCGGCCGCUGCAUGUAUGUAG